UACGUAGGUGGCAAGCGUUGUCCGGAAUUAUUGGGCGUAAAGCGCGCGCAGGCGGUCUCUUAAGUCUGAUGUGAAAGCCCCCGGCUCAACCGGGGAGGGUCAUUGGAAACUGGGAGACUUGAGUACUAGAGAGAAGAGUGGAAUUCCACGUGUAGCGGUGAAAUGCGUAGAGAUGUGGAGGAACACCAGUGGCGAAGGCGACUCUUUGGCUAGAAACUGACGCUGAGGCGCGAAAGCGUGGGGAGCAAACAGG
RNAcentral lists this ribosomal RNA (253 nucleotides) under uncultured Exiguobacterium sp. Its description in RNAcentral is "partial 16S ribosomal RNA". It matches the Rfam family "Bacterial small subunit ribosomal RNA", at positions 524 to 776 of the family's 1533-position model. Lineage: Bacteria; Bacillati; Bacillota; Bacilli; Caryophanales. The record is from RNAcentral.